Molecule: ribosomal RNA, 261 nt
Filed under: uncultured archaeon
Lineage: Archaea
Description: partial 16S ribosomal RNA
Rfam family: Archaeal small subunit ribosomal RNA
Source: RNAcentral
AGACGUCUACAUUAGAUACCCCGGUAGUCCCAGCCGUAAACUAUGCGCGUUAGGUGUAUCGGUGACCACGAGUUGCCGAGGUGCCGAAGGGAAACCGUGAAACGUGCCGCCUGGGAAGUACGGUCGCAAGGUUGAACUUAAGGAAUUGGCGGGGAGCACAACAACGGGUGGAGCCUGCGGUUUAAUUGGACUCAACGCCGGACAACUCACCGGGACGACAGCAAUAUGUAGGCCAGGCUGAAGACCUUGCCUGAAUCGCUG